This 151-nucleotide long non-coding RNA is filed under the name Bos indicus x Bos taurus (hybrid cattle). RNAcentral describes it as "lncRNA (ENSBIXG00005010969.1)". Lineage: Eukaryota; Metazoa; Chordata; Mammalia; Artiodactyla; Bovidae. The record is from RNAcentral.
UGUAAAUUACAACUAAAGACAACUGACUCUUCAUCUGACAUCAGCCUCAGCUUCUUUACCUGCACUUUAGCCUUGAAGAAUCUUGCCACCCAGUUUGGUAGGUUCUCCCCUCUUUCACUCAAAGGGCACGUCAGUUCUCUUUGAGGAAGUG